This 198-nucleotide ribosomal RNA is filed under the name uncultured bacterium. RNAcentral describes it as "partial 16S ribosomal RNA". It matches the Rfam family "Bacterial small subunit ribosomal RNA", at positions 1304 to 1500 of the family's 1533-position model. The record is from RNAcentral.
UCUGCAACUCGAGUGCAUGAAGCUGGAAUCGCUAGUAAUCGCGGAUCAGAAUGCCGCGGUGAAUUACGUUCCCGGGUCUUGUACACACCGCCCGUCACACCAUGGGAGUCGGGAAUGCCCGAAGCCGGUGGCCCAAUCGAGAGAAGGGAGCCGUCGAAGGCAGGCCGGAUGACUGGGGUGAAGUCGUAACAAGGUAAC